This 486-nucleotide ribosomal RNA is filed under the name uncultured bacterium. RNAcentral describes it as "partial 16S ribosomal RNA". It matches the Rfam family "Bacterial small subunit ribosomal RNA", at positions 28 to 507 of the family's 1533-position model. The record is from RNAcentral.
GACGAACGCUGGCGGCGUGCUUAACACAUGCAAGUCGAACGGGAUCCAAAUGCUUUUUGUUUUUGGUGAGUGUGGCGAACGGGUGAGUAACACGUGAGUAACCUGCCCCCUUCUUUUGGAUAACCGCAGGAAAGUGUGGCUAAUACAGGCUAUUCCAGGCUGGUCGCAUGAUUGGUUUGGGAUAUGGUUUGGUCUGGUGGGGGGUGGGCUCGCGGGCUAUCAGCUGGUUGGUGGGGUGAUGGCCUACCAAGGCGGUGACGGGUAGCCGGCCUGGGAGGGUGAGCGGUCACACUAGGACUGGGAUACGGCCCAGAGUGCUGCGGGAGGCAGCAGUGGGGGAUAUUGCGCAAUGGGCGGAAGCCUGAUGCCGCGACGCCGCGUGAGGGAUGAAGGCCUUCGGGUUGUAAACCUCUUUCGCUGGGUUGAAAGGCCAUGCUUUGGGUGUGGUUGAUUUGACCUGGUAAAGAAGUACCGGCUAACUACGUG